UCCGGCUUAUCACCGGCAGUCGCCCUAGAGUGCCCAACUUAAUGAUGGCAACUAAGGCCGAGGGUUGCGCUCGUUGCGGGACUUAACCCAACAUCUCACGACACGAGCUGACGACAGCCAUGCACCACCUGUGAUCCUGCCCCUAAGGGAAGCCCUGUUUCCAGGGCGGUCAGGAACAUGUCAAACCCAGGUAAGGUUCUUCGCGUUGCGUCGAAUUAAACCACAUGCUCCGCUGCUUGCGCGGGUCCCCGUCAAUUCCUUUGAGUUUUAGCCUUGCGGCCGUACUCCCCAGGCGGGGCGCUUAAUGCGUUAGCUCCGGCACGGAGAUCGUGGAAGACCCCCACACCUAGCGCCCAACGUUUACAGCGUGGACUAC
RNAcentral lists this unclassified non-coding RNA (376 nucleotides) under uncultured Actinomycetes bacterium. RNAcentral's name for it is "uncultured actinobacterium contains 16S-23S intergenic spacer region". The record is from RNAcentral. Lineage: Bacteria; Bacillati; Actinomycetota; Actinomycetes.